GGACAACGUGCCCUAAAGUGGGGGAUAAUCAGGGGAAACUCUGGAUAAUACCCCAUAGAUCAUGAGAUCUGGAAUGACUUAUGGUUCAAAGUUCCGGCGCUUUAGGAUCGGUCUGCGGCCUAUCAGGUAGUAGUGGGUGUAAUGUACCCCCUAGCCUAUUACGGGUAUGGGCCUUGAGAGAGGGAGCCCAGAGUUGGAUUCUGAGACACGAAUCCAGGCCCUACGGGGCGCAGCAGUCGCGAAAACUUCACAAUGGGCGAAAGCCCGAUGAGGGAAUUCCUAGUGCUAGCACUUUUGUGUUAGCUUUUCUUUAGCGUAGAUAACUAGAGGAAUAAGGGCUGGGUAAGACGGGUGCCAGCCGCCGCGGUAAUACCCGCAGCCCGAGUGGUGGUCGAUUUUAUUGAGUCUAAAACGUUCGUAGCCGGUCUGAUAGAUCCUUGGGUAAAUCGGGGGGCUUAACCUUCCGAAUUCCGAGGAGACCGUCAGGCUUGGGAUCGGGAGAGGUAAGAGGUACUUCAGGGGUAGGGGUAAAAUCCUGUAAUCCUUGGAGGACCACCGGUGGCGAAGGCGUCUUACUAGAACGGAUCCGACGGUGAGGGACGAAGCCCUGGGUCGCAAACGGGAUUAGAUACCCCGGUAGUCCAGGGUGUAAACGCUGCCGACUUGGUGUUGGAGGCCCUUCGGGGGCAUUCAGUGCCGGAGAGAAGUUGUUAAGUCGGCCACUUGGGGAGUACGUCCGCAAGGAUGAAACUUAA
RNAcentral lists this ribosomal RNA (755 nucleotides) under uncultured archaeon. RNAcentral describes it as "bacterial SSU rRNA". It matches the Rfam family "Archaeal small subunit ribosomal RNA", at positions 102 to 859 of the family's 1478-position model. The record is from RNAcentral.